AAUUCGACAAUCAUUGGUUUAGGCCUGUGCUGGAUUGAACCUGCGACCUCACAGUGAGAGGCAAGCGUUUUACGAACUGGGCUACCACGGCUCAAAAAAUCCUAUGUUAUUACCCAUUAAGCAUAAAUUACAUAACCGUUUGUCGCCUUUGAAAAUCACGCGAUUUGCACUGAAUUAUUAUUAUUAUGACUAUUUAGUAUAAUCUAAAGGGAAAUAGCAAUUUGACAGCUUCCUGUGCGACGUGUAUAUAUUGUCGGUGGUAGGAUGGUGGUCAUCAGUGGUCACCAGCAAGUGAAACAUGAAGGUCCUCGGAGUACUCUUGGCUAUUUUCGCCAUCGUUUUCGCUGUUGUGAGCGGUAUGAGCACCGGCGGCGCUGCGCCGGCCGCGCUGCACGACACCAAGCCUGCAGGGUGCUUCGGUGGCGGCCCACCACCGCCACCACCUCCCACCAACAGCAGCCGUUAAGCUGCUCCACGCACGGAUCCCUCGCUACGCUAUCGGAUAACAAUCGCUAAUUAUAUC
Pectinophora gossypiella (pink bollworm) is the source of this 523-nucleotide long non-coding RNA. RefSeq lists it as uncharacterized. The transcript is spliced from 4 exons. Lineage: Eukaryota; Metazoa; Arthropoda; Insecta; Lepidoptera; Gelechiidae. The record is from RefSeq and is a predicted model, not a curated record.